GAGAGUUAAAUAGUACGUGAAAUUGUUGAAAGGGAAACGAUUGAAGCCAGUCGUACCUAUGGGUAAUCAGCCUUUUGGGUGUGAUUUUGUGGAGCGUGAGGAGUUAAACGCCUUCAUGCCUGCAUAUUCGUGCACUUUGGGUGUACUUGCCCGUAUGGUUGGUUAACAUCAAUUUUGGUGGUCAUAAAAUGACUGGAGGAAUGUAGCUUCGAUCUCGUAUUGAAGUGUUAUAGCCUUCGGUAGAUGUGAUGAUCGAGAUUGAGGAUUGCAACGGAUACCCUUCGGGGCUACCUGUCUGAUCUCUGAUCGUUGCUCUGGUGCUGAAAGCUUGCUUACGGUUAUCAAAGUCAAUGGUCAAUAGGUUAGAACGGGUUAAAUUCGUUAAGGAUGUUGACGUAAUGGCUUUAAACGA
Molecule: ribosomal RNA, 412 nt
Filed under: uncultured Rhizophagus
Lineage: Eukaryota; Fungi; Glomeromycota; Glomeromycetes; Glomerales; Glomeraceae
Description: partial 28S ribosomal RNA
Source: RNAcentral